GCUGUAUGUGGUAGUACACACCUGUGGCCCCAGUUAAUCUAGAGGCUGAGGUGGGAGGAUCUCUUGAACAGGAGUUCUGAGCUGUAGUGCACUAUACCAAUUGGGUGUCUGCACUAAGUCCAGUAUUCAUAUGGUGACCUCUCAGGAGUGGGGGACUCACCAGAUUACCUUAGGAGGGGUGAACUAGUUCAAGUCAGAAGUAGGUCAAAACUCCUGUGCUGAUCAGUAGUGGGAUUGUGCCUGUGAAUAGCCAGGUGUCAUGGCAGGCCCUCCCACCUGGGUAACACAGCAAGACCCCAAUCUCU
This 305-nucleotide signal recognition particle RNA is filed under the name Otolemur garnettii (small-eared galago). RNAcentral describes it as "Metazoan signal recognition particle RNA". It matches the Rfam family "Metazoan signal recognition particle RNA". Rfam says of the family: The signal recognition particle (SRP) is a universally conserved ribonucleoprotein. It is involved in the co-translational targeting of proteins to membranes. Lineage: Eukaryota; Metazoa; Chordata; Mammalia; Primates; Galagidae. The record is from Rfam by way of RNAcentral.